This 70-nucleotide transfer RNA is filed under the name Cyrtodactylus saiyok. RNAcentral describes it as "tRNA-Ala". It matches the Rfam family "tRNA". From Rfam's summary of the family: Transfer RNA (tRNA) molecules are approximately 80 nucleotides in length. Their secondary structure includes four short double-helical elements and three loops (D, anti-codon, and T loops). The record is from RNAcentral. Lineage: Eukaryota; Metazoa; Chordata; Lepidosauria; Squamata; Gekkonidae.
GAGGCCUUAGCUUAAGUAAAGCGUCUGUAUUGCAGUCAGAAGAUGUAAUUAUGAUUACAGGCCUUCAAAA